GUGAGAAUCAAAAAGAAUUCCCUUUAAACCAUCAUGGAAAUGUAUAGUUGGAACCAUCAAGUACCAUCACGAUCCAUGAGAAUACAAACUUCUCCUGAUAGUUAAUCAUAUAGUAUCGAAGUAGCAUUUUUUAUCAUGGUAAAGGCCUGGUUUCUUAGGACAGAACGCCGUCAGCUGGAAAUCAGCGCUAACCUCUGAUUGGUCCAUUUGUGAGUUUGAUAGUAUGCGUCAUCGGGUUCAAGAUGAGCUUUCGAUGACGUACACUAUCAAACUCACAAAUGGACCAAUCAGAGGUUAGCGCUGAUUUCCAGCUGACGGCGUCCUGUCCUAAGAAACCAGGCCUUAAGAUGGAAGUUUGCUUUCAUAUCAAAAACCACGAAUGCAUAAUGGAAAAUGUGGGAUGAUGGUGACUAUCAAAUCAUGUUGGACCAUCAUGAAUCGCCCUGAAACUCACAUAAGCCAUCAAAAUGAUUUGAGGAGACCAUCAAGAACUUUGACUUGGGUUAAAGUAAAAUUCUGUUUACAGCAAAACCGUCGUUGAACAGCCGACCUAAUUUUUUGUGUUUACGACUACUUAAUCUUCAACUCCGUGGUCUUGUAGUUUUAGAACCACUCCAGAAAACAAGGGAAUUCCUGGAUCAAGUAUUGGAAGAAAUUUACCUACGUAGAAGACUUUUUGAUAGAACUAACCCGCAUUUGCUUUGCAUGGAGAAGAAAAACCACAAUAACCUUCCACGGUUAGAUUGACGGCAAGGGGACUCGAGCCCAUGAUCCGUCUACCACUGAGAAUAUUUUUGGUCUGUGCGAGCUGGAUGCGAAAUUCAUAUCGACCAGUCAACGCUGUGAUUCGAACCCGGUUCCCCUUAGUGGAAGGCAAACGCACUAUCCCCUGAGCCAUCACGGCUCCUUACAAUUGUAAUUAAAAAAUAGUUAACUAACUAACGGAGGCUUGUUCAGAAAAGACAAGGCAAAGAGUAGGACUAGGGCAAAAUUAGGACAUUUUGUGACUAGCCUGGGGCUUAUGAUAGCAUUUUUUUUGGCUCCUUUUAAAAACUCUUUCAAAAACGGGAAACGAUUGAAAACACUGCUUAAAUAAAUUAUAUCAUUUCUUUUGGAUAAUUUCUAAGGCAGGUUUUAUUUGUAAAAUAAAUGAAAAGUUUAAGCGUGAAAAAA
This is a non-coding RNA of Parasteatoda tepidariorum (common house spider), 1173 nucleotides long. The record is from RefSeq and is a predicted model, not a curated record. Lineage: Eukaryota; Metazoa; Arthropoda; Arachnida; Araneae; Theridiidae.